UACUGACAUAAUCUGUUCUUUUACAAUGUAUUUGUUUCCUCAUCUGACAUUAUCCCCAUGGUGACAAUAUGGAUAAGUGACCAAAGGGGUUAUACAAUACCUUCCUGAUGUUUCUGCUUCACUGCUUUCAUUGUGUUGUUGUGACCUGUGUUCUAGUUUCUCCUUCGUGGUACAAUAAGUACAGGUGGACAAGACAUUUGACAGUCACUUGUAAGGUACAGGAAACUGUUUAUCACCAAUGAGGAUCUGUUGUUAGGAAAAUGUGAAAGUUCGUAUAAGAAGGGAUGACUUUAGGAGAACCUCAAAUGGCAAGCUCAGAUGAGUGUUGCUGUGUCUGCAAGCAGAAGGUCCACUAUUACAGCCGACAUGGAAAAAAUUGGCUGUUCUUCUGCUCUGAGCAGUGUCAACAAAAGUAUUGUAAGGAGAAACAAAUUCCCCCCAUGAUUCUAGUGGAGACAGAAAGUCAGACUGAUGAAGAAGAUGAAAAUGACCAAGUAUCAAAAAUUUUCAAGCAUAUCAAAUCCAAUGACCACACACAGCUGGUAGACAAACUUCAAGUUCUUAAAAAGAAAGAAUUGGAUCAGGCCAAACUGAAAGGUGUCCCUCUCUUGUGUUACGCUGUGAAGGUCGGAAGCUUUAGAAGUAUACAAGUGUUACUUGACACUGGAAUAGAUGUCAAUCAAACUUGUGACAAUGGAAAGACAGCUUUAAUGUUGGCAUGUCAGCAAGCAUCUGCAGAAAAGGUGCAGAUGCUCUUGAAUUGUGGUGUUAAUCUGCGCCUUCAGGAUGCUGAGGGUCAGACAGCUUUACACCUUGCCACUCUGGCUAACAAGGGAGCCUCCUGUGCAGGCUUAUUACUGAAAGCAGAUCACUCUAUGGCAUCAAUUUGUGACAAAUAUGGCCAAUCAGCUUUGCACUUGGCUGCUAAAAGGGGUCACCUGCCUCUAGUUCAGCUUUACCUGUUACAUGAUCGUCAGGGAGUGAAAGAGAAAGACAAUCUUGGAAGACUGCCUCUUCACUGGGCAGUUCAAGAAGGAAGGACAAACUGUGUGGAGUACCUGCUUGGAUUUGAAAACACUAUGGUAAUUGAUGAAGUUGAUGAUCUUGGAAAUACACCCAUUCAUCUUGGUAUUCAACACAACAAGCAGCAAGCUGUAGAGACAUUGGUUGAUAAGGGUUGCAAUUUAGAUGUUGUAGAUGAUGAUGGGAAAACCCCAUUGAUGCUUGCCUUACAUUUGGGCAAGAAAAAUAUAUUCAAUAUGAUUGUGCAAAAGCAAGGACCACUUAAGGCAGAUGCAGGAGAUGAACAGGGAAUGACAGCUCUUCAUCAUGCUGCUGAUGUUGGCAACUUGGACUUCUGUAAAACACUUGUAGAAGGUGGGGCCAAGGUUGACACACUAUGUAAACUGGGACGUUCACCCAUCUUUUACUGUGUAAUGAACGGCCACACAGACUGUGUGAAAUAUCUGAUGGAUAAGAGAGCAGACCUCUAUAUAAUUGAUAAUCCAAAAAGACUCCCCCUCCAUUAUGCUGUUGCAAACGGUCAUGUAGAAACAACAAAACUUCUGAUUUCUUCUAUCAUAGACAUGAAAACAGUGGAUGAAAAAGCAUAUCAGAGUGUUCUUCAAGUAGCUGCAUUGAGUGGACAAGAGGUGAUCCUGCAGCUUUUGUUAAAGCAAGGCGUAGACUGUGAAAGGAAAGACACUGAAGGGUGUACUGCUCUCCAUCUGGCUGCUGGGGAAGGACAUACUAAGUGCUGUGACAUCUUGAUCCAGCAUGGUGCUCAGGUCAAUCCUGAAGACAAUUCCAAUGAAAGAAACACACCACUUGAUUUUGCUUACAAAAAGGAGCAUGCAGACACAGCAGAAUUCCUCAGAAGCAAAGGUGGUGUCACAAAUGGAGACCGAAAAGAACAGGCUGUAAUGGAAUUUCGUAGAAAACAUGCAGCAAUUGUUAUUCAGAGAGCAUGGCGAUAUUAUUGGGGACGAAAACGCAUUGAGCACACACGAGCUGCCAGAGUAAUCCAGGCUGCCUGGAGAGCCUAUCAAAAGAAAAAAUGCCAAAGAAAAGACAAUGAAGAAUUUGGUGUAAUACCUGCCAAGAAGAAAGAGAAAAAGAAAGAAAAAGGCAAACCAGGAUGGAACAGUUCAACGGUUAUCAGGCAUACUCCACCUCCAUCAUAUAGUAUGUUUGAUAUGCUAAACAAGAACAAAAUAGGUACAUCUAAUCCUGCCAGAAUGACCUCCUAUGUACAGAUGUUUAAAAACAGUGCUGCAAAUGGCAGUUAAAGCUGUAUAUAAUGUAUAUACAGUGUAAUAAAAUACACAAGAUUUCAUUGGAUAAUGAUGAAUAAACACUAUGGUUAAGUGUACAUUGUUUUAAUUCAGUAUAAUUGUAAGAAGUUCAGGAUACUAUUGGAUUUCUUUGUUCAUAAAGAUAUUUUAAUGCCCUAAAGGUUUGAAGCAGCUGGACUGCUUUAGGUGUACUAGCAUGCUGUAUUUAUGCAGUGAUGUAUACAAUUCCUUGAUUUAAAUUCCUCAAUUACAAAUUGUCAUAAAUUGUGUCACUGUAUUUGAACUAAUUACGUAAGUAACUUCAGUGCUGUUACAUACUAGUUAUAUUCUUUUUAAAAACAUGUUUGGAAUGGGCAUUAUCUGAGAUAGCCAGAAUUUGGCAGGAUUUUGAGGAGAGUGGGGCCAAAAAUAAAGGUUCAAAAUCAGCUACAAAUAAAAGCUGACACAGUUUAUCUACAAAUAUGUUAAAUAUGUUUCUUUUUGUUUUCUUAUGCUUAUGGCAGUCUAUAUAUAGAAUGCCAUAAGCAUAAGAAAACAAUAUAUGUAUAUAUAACAAAAGUACAGAUUCUCUGUAUACACAGUUUUUGUACAAAGAAAUUCCCAGUGCAAAGAGUUUUACCCAUAUAGCUUACAAUAUAGGGAUUCUUUCACUUUAUCUAGACUCACUUACAUUACAUAUCACACACUGUUCCAAGCAUCUUUUUAGACCAUUGCAAAUGAUGCCUAUUGCAAACCCAUGUAAAAAUGGAUAUAAGAUAUAUUAUAACUUGCUAUUAGAAGAAGUUUUUUGACCAUUUAAAAUCUAUGAGACUGUAUACCCUUGCACUUUCAUUUGGCUGCAUUCAGAACAGUGGACUACGGUCAAAUUUGGCUGACCCACUUGAAUGCUUCCCCACAGGAUAUAUAUUCAGUGUCUAUAAGCGGAUUAAGACGGCAAGUUUUUUUGUGGGUUGCCAUAUUUGACCCACGGAAUAGUUAGUCCACUGUUCUGAACGUGGCCAUUUGACUAAGUUGUUUACAGCAUCAGAAAUGUAAUUUUCAUUGUAUUGAACAUAUAUCUUUUUAAAUAAACAUUUUUAUGUUGAUGG
This 3382-nucleotide unclassified non-coding RNA is filed under the name Lingula anatina. RNAcentral describes it as "ankyrin repeat, PH and SEC7 domain containing protein secG, transcript variant X1". The record is from RNAcentral. Lineage: Eukaryota; Metazoa; Brachiopoda; Lingulata; Lingulida; Lingulidae.